Molecule: ribosomal RNA, 456 nt
Filed under: uncultured bacterium
Lineage: Bacteria
Description: bacterial SSU rRNA
Rfam family: Bacterial small subunit ribosomal RNA
Source: RNAcentral
AUUGAACGCUGGCGGCAGGCCUAAUACAUGCAAGUCGAACGGUAACAUAAAAGAAGCUUGCUUCUUUUGAUGACGAGUGGCGGACGGGUGAGUAAUAUUUGGGAAACUACCUGAUAGAGGGGGACAACAGUUGGAAACGACUGCUAAUACCGCAUAAAGCCUGAGGGUGAAAGCAGCAAUGCGCUAUCAGAUGUGCCCAAACGGGAUUAGCUAGUAGGUGAGGUAAAGGCUCACCUAGGCGACGAUCUCUAGCUGGUCUGAGAGGAUGAUCAGCCACAUUGGGACUGAGACACGGCCCAGACUCCUACGGGAGGCAGCAGUAGGGAAUAUUGCACAAUGGAGGAAACUCUGAUGCAGCCAUGCCGCGUGUGUGAAGAAGGCCUUCGGGUUGUAAAGCACUUUCGAGGGAGGAAAGAUGACGUUACCCUCACGAAGAAGCACCGGCGUAACUCCGUG